GUUGGGGCUCCCGCUCCUGGCUCUUCAUCCGCCGACUGAGUCUCUCUUGUAUGAACGCGAAAACUCUAUCAUGCCAUUGUGGAUCCUCAAUUCAUUGCUUAUCAUCGGGUAUGUCUUGGUCUAGAAGAAAGGGGAGUAUAGUAUAGUUUGUGUUUCCCACUCAAAGGGGAGGGGCCUGGGAUUCAAUAGAGUAUAGGUUCGAGAUCUGAUCUUGGAAAAAAGAAAAGA
RNAcentral lists this unclassified non-coding RNA (228 nucleotides) under Hevea brasiliensis (rubber tree). Lineage: Eukaryota; Viridiplantae; Streptophyta; Magnoliopsida; Malpighiales; Euphorbiaceae. The record is from RNAcentral.